This is an RNA transcript of Globicephala melas (long-finned pilot whale), 5523 nucleotides long. It is a transcript of the gene named kelch like family member 4, with no coding region annotated. NCBI's taxonomy places the organism in Eukaryota, Metazoa, Chordata, Mammalia, Artiodactyla, Delphinidae. The record is from RefSeq and is a predicted model, not a curated record.
GGCUGAAGCUACUGUACUUCAGUUAGGAAGGAGCUGGGUUAGAUAUUUGCAAGUCCAGGCAGGAGGGUUGGGAGUGUGCAAAUCUAGCAGCUGGAGUGUGUUGUGGUAGCUGCUUUCCUGUGCUAAGCUGAUUUACUUGUUUAAGGUCUGACCUCAUCAUCCUGUCUGUAUGGGUUCCCACCUACACUGUUAGCUGCAGCUUUCUGCUUCAACUGGAAAGCUAGAAGUAUUCACAGUAUACCACAGACAGCGGGGGAGGGGAGAGCAAGAAAGACUGCUCUCGGCACUUAUGCUUUUGUUAGUCCUACAGAAGAGGCAGAGAAACAAGAGAUAACAAAGGCUGUUUCCUUUCUGUGAGAGAAGGCUUUUGUCUUUCCUCCUGCAACGAUGUCAGUGUCUGGCAAGAAAGAGUUUGAUGUGAAACAGAUCCUAAGACUACGCUGGAGGUGGUUUAGUCAUCCUUCUCAAGGUUCGCCCAACACUGGAAACUGCCUUCAGCAGGAAGGAUAUGAGCAUAGAGGGACCCCGGUUCAGGGCAGGUUGAAGAACCACUCUCGGGACAGAAAUGGACUGAAGAAAAGCAAUAGUCCUGUCCACCACAACAUACUGACACCAGUGCCAGGAUCGGCCCCUUCCCAUCAAAGAGCCCUUCAGAAUUGGCACCCACAAAACCUGAUAGAACAUCUUCGAGCAAAUGAAGAUACUCCUAAAGCAGUUCCAGAGGAGAAUUUGUUCAAAGAAGCUUGUGAGAAACACUCACAAGAUUUGGAGAUGAUGGCUGAUGACAAUACAGAAGAUUCAACAGCAAGAUUAGAUACACAGCAUCCUGAAGAAAUGAAUGUUAGUAGAUCUGAGGAGCACUUCCAUGCUGUAAACCAUGCGGAACAAACUCUUCAUAAAAUGGAGAACUACCUGAAAGAGAAACAAUUGUGUGAUGUGCUACUCAUUGCCGGACACCUCAGAAUCCCAGCCCAUCGGUUGGUUCUCAGUGCAGUGUCUGAUUAUUUUGCUGCAAUGUUUACUAAUGAUGUGCUUGAAGCCAAACAAGAAGAGGUCAGGAUGGAAGGAGUCGAUCCUAAUGCACUUGAUUCCUUGGUGCAGUAUGCUUACACUGGUGUCCUGCAAUUGAAAGAAGAUACUAUUGAAAAUUUGCUGGCUGCAGCUUGUCUUCUGCAGCUGACUCAAGUCAUUGAAGUCUGCUCCAAUUUUCUUAUAAAACAACUCCACCCUUCAAACUGCUUAGGGAUUCGAUCAUUUGGAGAUGCCCAGGGCUGUACCGAGCUCCUGAGUGUGGCACAUAAAUACACAAUGGAACACUUCAUCGAGGUAAUAAAGAACCAAGAAUUCCUCCUGCUUCCAGCUAAUGAGAUUUCAAAACUUUUAUGCAGUGAUGACAUUAAUGUUCCUGAUGAAGAAACUAUUUUCCACGCUCUAAUGCAGUGGGUAAGGCAUGAUGUGCAGGCUAGGCAACAAGACCUAGCAAUGCUGCUUUCUUACAUCAGACUGCCAUUACUUCCACCACAGUUACUGGCAGAUCUUGAAAACAGUUCCAUGUUUACUGGUGAUCUUGAGUGUCAGAAGCUCCUGAUGGAAGCUAUGAAGUAUCAUCUCUUACCUGAGAGAAGACCCAUGAUGCAAAGCCCUCGGACGAAGCCUAGAAAAUCAACUGUGGGAGCACUUUAUGCUGUGGGAGGCAUGGAUGCUAUGAAAGGUACCACUACAAUUGAAAAAUAUGACCUCAGGACCAACAGCUGGUUACAUAUUGGCACCAUGAGUGGCCGUAGGCUUCAGUUUGGAGUUGCUGUUAUUGAUAAUAAGCUCUACGUCGUGGGAGGAAGAGAUGGUUUAAAAACUUUGAAUACUGUGGAAUGUUUUAAUCCAGUUGGCAAAAUCUGGAUGGUGAUGCCUCCCAUGUCAACACACAGGCAUGGUUUAGGCGUAGCCACACUUGAAGGACCAAUGUAUGCUGUUGGUGGUCAUGAUGGAUGGAGUUAUCUAAACACUGUAGAAAGAUGGGAUCCUGAGGGACGUCAGUGGAAUUAUGUGGCCAGUAUGUCAACUCCUAGAAGCACCGUUGGUGUUGUUGCAUUAAACAACAAGCUAUAUGCUAUUGGUGGACGUGAUGGAAGUUCCUGCCUCAAAUCUAUGGAAUACUUUGACCCACAUACUAACAAAUGGAGUCUGUGUGCUCCAAUGUCCAAAAGACGUGGAGGUGUGGGAGUUGCAGCAUACAAUGGAUUCUUAUAUGUUGUUGGGGGUCAUGAUGCCCCUGCUUCUAACCAUUGCUCCAGACUUUCUGACUGUGUGGAACGGUAUGAUCCAAAAAAUGAUUCAUGGUCAACUGUGGCACCUCUGAGCGUUCCUCGAGAUGCUGUUGCUGUAUGUCCCCUUGGAGACAAACUCUAUGUAGUUGGAGGAUAUGAUGGACAUACUUACUUGAACACUGUUGAGUCAUAUGAUACACAGAAAGAUGAAUGGAAAGAGGUACUCUCAUUUAAAGUAUUCAAAUUGAUAUAUUUCACGUUUUAAUUUAAAAAUUAAAAUAUGUGUUUGGAAUUAAUCCCAUUCUCUUCCUCUCUAGGGCUGAACCAAAUUCUUUAAUGAAAUUUAUAGCAUGUGCUUUAUUUAGCUAUAGAGAAUUAUUAACUGAGCUGUUUUAUCAUUAGCAGGAUCCAUCAAUACUCAUAUAAAGUGGAGACAAGACAUUCUCUUAACGAUGGACUCAUUCCUUUUACAGAAAAGUGAAUCAGAUUCAAUAAUCCAAGAGCUUUACUCUCUGACCAACUUUCUAUGUAUGUAUUAUGACUUGAGAAGCAAAGAAUAAUGUCCUCACCCACAAAUGUCUGCCCUUUCUUAUUGGCUGGUGCCCAGGAGGAAAAUCUUUCAGUCCCCUCCUUAUAGAGGUUCUACAAAUUACAACACUCCUAACUACUGAUCAGUCAUUCAAGGGACUUGGUGCACAGUAAGAGACUGGAAUUAAACUCUCUCAAGAGUGCUGGGCAUCUAACAGAAGAAAUUCUAAGGAAAGUACAAGAAGGGGCACUGAAAGGACAUCUUGGUGGUGUUAAAGGAAACUUGAUGCUUCUGACAGCUUUGCAGUUAUAGCUCUGUAUUUAUUCCAAAAUGCCUAAUGGUGUUUUGUUGAUUAAAUGAUGGAUUAAUAAAAUAUGAAGUAUGAUUAACUCUUCACCAUUUCCACAAACAAGCAAACCUUGUAUUUGGUAUCAAACGUCACCUUUCCUUACAUUAACUUCAUGGUGCUCUGUUUUCUACGUAGUAAGCUGGUUACUGUUCUAAAUAAGUUAUGUGUAAUAUACUGACACCUGAUAAUGGGAUUCUAGCUCUUUCCUCCAACAAUAUGAUUCAUGAAGACCCUCAGAAAUAUUCAAGUUCUGCCAUGUAGGUAGCUCUUUACAAUGGUUAGGACAGCUAGAAAUGGAGGAAAAUAUUUAGAAAACAAGGAUGUAGGUCAAAUACAAGAAUCAAAAUAUUUGUAAUUUACUUUUCAGAAAAUUAUAGACUAGUAGCUAAGAGACCUAGACUCUAUUCCAGGCAUUUCACUGUUUCAUUGUGUGACCUUGAAAAUGGUGAAAGAGAACUAACAGAUAAUGAGAUUAUAACUACUAUAUGCCUAAUUAUUUUCAUUCAUUAUCUUCCUUAACCCUAACAAAAGCUCAUUGAAGAAUGAGUAUUAUUAGCUGUAAUUUUUAAAGUGAGAAAAUUAUCAGAGAGGUGAAAUUUACCCAAGAUCACCUGUUCUUCAAACUCAGGCCUACUUCAUUUUAAAGACUAUGCUCUUUCUACAUUGGACUAUUAUUUGGGCUGCAUUUUCCCAUAUCUUUAUACAAGAUGAAGGUUGGGCCAGAAUAGGAAGUUCCUGUUAACAUUGGAAGAGCUGGUGCAUGUGUUGUGGUGGUGAAGCUACCAUAAAGCUAUCUUUAUCAAAGGGAAGGAAACUGGAUAAUUUCAAGAAGUGGAGUAGGAAGAGGAGAGGAAGAAGAAAUAUGUUCUUUCCUUCAAUUAGUAAUCAAACAUGAAAAUUCUUGUGUCAUUUUAAUAUGUAGAUAUAAAUGCUCUCAUUUGUGAAGCCAAAGCAAGUUUUCAAACACUAAUUACAUAUAGGUGUUUAGUGUAUAUGUUGUUGCAGCUAAUAAUAUAAAUGAAAAUCCAGUAGUCUAUGUUUAGUCUCGUCACUUUAAAAUGUUAAAAUGUUUAAGAGAAAUUGAUAGUGACCAAAGUAUAAAAAGUUACAAAAGCAUCAGUAAUUUUGAGUCUGAUAAGUUAAAAACAUUUUCUAUUUCAAAAAAAAUUAAGUACCCUAUCAUUUGGAACGUAACUAAUAUAAAAGAGAACAUCUAAAGCUUAAAUUAUAAGGUUUGAUUUUCAGUAAGACAUCAUUCUUUUAUCUAAACAAUAUCCUAAAUAGCUAAAUAAUAUCUCACAUUUACCAAGAAGAAAGAUUUUACUGUGGUGAGAUUAAAAAAAAAAGAAAAAGCUCAUUGACAUAAUUUGUUAUGCUGAUCACAGUAGGUUAAAAUUUUCAGACUUACUCUUUUACAGUACCAUUUUCCAAAGCACACAUAUAGAUUUGGUAUUCCUUAACAUGUUGUCUUGUUAGGCAACAUUUAUUUUACCAGUAAAAUAUUAUUGUAAUUCCAUAUACACAAUCUAUACAAUAAAAUGGUGAAUAUUUAUCAUAUUGAUACAAACUGUGACCUCAGCUUUCGAGUGUCAGGGCCUCACUUGUAUAGACAGUAACAUUCUCCUCAAACAUUUCUAUGAACUCUUAAAACACCUGCCAUUAAGUUAAACCAGUUUUCAAAAACAAAGCAAUUUUUCAACAGCAGUAAAAUUGAGAUGUUCUACAAUAUUAACACAUGGAAACACCAAAAUGUUCAACAUCCGUGGUUAAUUCUAUAAUUAUCUUUUAUGUACCAGUACAUGAUUUUCUGUCAAUUUUAUAUUCAUCCAGUAGAGAAUAUUAAGGAUAUAUGCACUACAAAUGUUUUUAAAUUAAAAAACAACAAAAAAGACUAGCUGGGUAGUAUUUUACCUUUAAAUUCUCACUUCCAUGUCCAAUUAUUUAAAAAAAAGUGGGGGAGGUUGGCCAAAAAGUUCAUUUGGGUUUUUCCAUAAGAUGUUAUGGAAAAACCCAAAUGAACUUUUUGGCCAACCCAAUAUUUAAGAUAAAAUGUUGGAAAACCUUCUUUAUGAAAGUAACUUUUCAAUUAAAUUAUGAUUUUAGAAUUUCUGCAAUAUGUCCUUUUAAAUGGGCUUUGUAUUGUAGUAUGUGAAACCAACAAAUAAAAUCCAGAGAUGCUUAUAAAAUGUACUACUACUUUUAAGUUUUUAAAAAAAGAGCAACAUAGGUUGUACAAAGAUAUGUGUACUUUAACAAACUGAAUUUAAAUAAAAUCUAUUUCCUCUGGUUAUAAAGUGUGGCUUUAGAUUAUGUCAAGUGCAGCUUGAAUUGACCUUUUGAUAUUUAUUUUUCCAAUAGCUAAAGUAUUUAAAUAAAAAAAU